Molecule: ribosomal RNA, 292 nt
Filed under: uncultured Curvibacter sp.
Lineage: Bacteria; Pseudomonadati; Pseudomonadota; Betaproteobacteria; Burkholderiales; Comamonadaceae
Description: partial 16S ribosomal RNA
Rfam family: Bacterial small subunit ribosomal RNA
Source: RNAcentral
GUGUCAGCCGCCGUGGUAAUACGUAGGGUGCGAGCGUUAAUCGGAAUUACUGGGCGUAAAGCGUGCGCAGGCGGUUAUGUAAGACAGAUGUGGAAUCCCCGGGCUCAACCUGGGAACUGCAUUAGUGACUGCAUAGCUGGAGUACGGCAGAGGGAGAUGGAAUUCCGCGUGUAGCAGUGAAAUGCGUAGAUAUGCGGAGGAACACCGAUGGCGAAGGCAAUCCCCUGGGCCUGUACUGACGCUCAUGCACGAAAGCGUGGGGAGCAAACAGGAUUAGAAACCCCCGUAGUCC